Molecule: ribosomal RNA, 274 nt
Filed under: uncultured bacterium
Lineage: Bacteria
Description: partial 16S ribosomal RNA
Rfam family: Bacterial small subunit ribosomal RNA
Source: RNAcentral
AUACGGAGGGUGCAAGCGUUGUCCGGAUUUAUUGGGUUUAAAGGGUGUGUAGGCGGUGUAUUAAGUCAGUGGUGAAAGCCUGCGGCUCAACCGUAGAACUGCGAUUGAUACUGACACACUUGAGUAUGGACGAGGUAGGCGGAAUUUAUGGUGUAGCGGUGAAAUGCAUAGAUACCAUAAAGAACACCGAUAGCGAAGGCAGCUUACUAGGCCAUAACUGACGCUGAGGCACGAAAGCGUGGGGAGCGAACAGGAUUAGAAACCCCAGUAGUCC